CGCUGAGCAUGCUGGAGAGGAGGGGCUUGAUAGGCCGCGGCCCGUGGCCUGGGCUCCGGCUGCGGAGUGGGCACCGAGCCCCUUGUUUGCCUGUAGAUAGCCUUGCGUGUGAGUGGAGGGGUCUGCCGCCGCUGACGCGACUCAGGCACCAGAGGCAAAUGUCUUUCUGUUACAUCCAUAUAAGUAAAGAUUCCAAUAUCUUUCCAACCUGUAAGAUAUGUUGAUGCUUUGCAAAGCCUUUCGAAAUUUUUGCUGCGGAGAUUGCAUGGAAGGUGAUACAGAAAGUACAAAACAGAGGAAAAAGAGGCAGAAUGAUAGUAACAAAGAAAUCCGCUUCAGAAAAAGGUCCUCAGAGCGGCUCGCUGAGUACUUAAGAAAAAGAACAGAGAAAGCAAAAGAUGCAAGACACCAAAAAGGGAAUUCUUCUCCAAAACUCGGAAGUAGAUCAAACAGACAGCACAGCAAAGAAAAUAUGAGUGUUAAAGGCAUUAUGGCACAUGGAGGCAGAGUAAGCAGACAGCAGAGCA
Long non-coding RNA from Amblyraja radiata (thorny skate), 527 nucleotides. RefSeq lists it as uncharacterized. The transcript is spliced from 2 exons. Lineage: Eukaryota; Metazoa; Chordata; Chondrichthyes; Rajiformes; Rajidae. The record is from RefSeq and is a predicted model, not a curated record.